This 243-nucleotide long non-coding RNA is filed under the name Hordeum vulgare. RNAcentral's name for it is "long non-coding RNA (HVUL_LNC012899)". Lineage: Eukaryota; Viridiplantae; Streptophyta; Magnoliopsida; Poales; Poaceae. The record is from RNAcentral.
UGGAGAACAAUGUCGUAUUCAAACAUCCGAGUCACAAAGCGUGGAUGAAAGGAUAAAAGUACUUCGCAAGCAUGAAUUCACAGAUGAGGAGCAACUACCACAUGGUACUAUAUCCUUUUACUACCUCUACUAUGAACAGACUACAUUCAAAGAAACUCCUCUAGUAUGCAUGUAACAGAAACAUGGAACUACUUGAGUGAAGUUGUAGAUACAGCUGUUCAGGAUGAUAUAUUGACUUAGUGG